This 442-nucleotide ribosomal RNA is filed under the name uncultured bacterium. RNAcentral's name for it is "partial 16S ribosomal RNA". It matches the Rfam family "Bacterial small subunit ribosomal RNA", at positions 338 to 795 of the family's 1533-position model. The record is from RNAcentral.
CCUACGGGUGGCAGCAGUGGGGGAUAUUGGACAAUGGGGGGAACCCUGAUCCAGCGACGCCGCGUGAGUGAAGAAGUAUCUCGGUAUGUAAAGCUCUAUCAGCAGGGAAGAAGAAAUGACGGUACCUGAGUAAGACGCCCCGGCUCACUACGUGCCAGCAGCCGCGGUAAUACGUAGGGGGCAAGCGUUAUCCGGAAUUAGUGGGGGUAAAGGGAGCGUAGGCGGUGGUGUAAGUCUGGAGUGAAAGGCGGGGGCACAACCCCCGGACUGCUCUGGAGACUAUGUGACUGGAGUGCAGGAGAGGUAGGCGGAAUGCCUAGUGUAGCGGUGAAAUGCGUAGAUAUUAGGAGGAACACCAGUGGCGAAGGCGGCUCACUGGACUGUAACUGACGUUGAGGCGCGAAAGCGUGGGGAGCAAACAGGAUUAGAUACCCGAGUAGUC